UACGGAGGGAGCUAGCGUUGUUCGGAAUUACUGGGCGUAAAGCGCGCGUAGGCGGCUUUGUAAGUUAGAGGUGAAAGCCCGGGGCUCAACUCCGGAAUUGCCUUUAAGACUGCAUCGCUAGAAUCCGGGAGAGGUGAGUGGAAUUCCGAGUGUAGAGGUGAAAUUCGUAGAUAUCGGGAGGAACACCAGUGGCGAAAGCGGCUCUCUGGGCCGUUCCUGACGCUAAGACACGAAAGCGUGGGUAGCGAACGGG
This 253-nucleotide ribosomal RNA is filed under the name uncultured bacterium. Its description in RNAcentral is "partial 16S ribosomal RNA". It matches the Rfam family "Bacterial small subunit ribosomal RNA", at positions 524 to 776 of the family's 1533-position model. The record is from RNAcentral.